Molecule: ribosomal RNA, 360 nt
Filed under: uncultured bacterium
Lineage: Bacteria
Description: bacterial SSU rRNA
Rfam family: Bacterial small subunit ribosomal RNA
Source: RNAcentral
GCCGGCCUGAGAGGGCGACCGGCCACACUGGGACUGAGACACGGCCCAGACUCCUACGGGAGGCAGCAGUGGGGAAUAUUGGGCAAUGGACGAAAGUCUGACCCAGCGACGCCGCGUGAGGGAUGAAGGCCUUCGGGUUGUAAACCUCUUUCAGCAGGGAAGAAGCGAAAGUGACGGUACCUGCAGAAGAAGCACCGGCUAACUAUGUGCCAGCAGCCGCGGUAAUACAUAGGGUGCAAGCGUUGUCCGGAAUUAUUGGGCGUAAAGAGCUCGUAGGUGGUUNGUUACGUCGGAUGUGAAAAUCURGGGCUCAACCCNAGACCUGCAUCCGAUACGGGCUAGCUUGAGUUUGGUAGGGGA